RNAcentral lists this transfer RNA (27 nucleotides) under Impatiens balsamina (garden balsam). Its description in RNAcentral is "partial tRNA-Leu". The record is from RNAcentral. Lineage: Eukaryota; Viridiplantae; Streptophyta; Magnoliopsida; Ericales; Balsaminaceae.
AAUCCGUCGACUUUAUAAAUCAUGAGG